UUUAUAUUGAUGUUCUUUUCUUUGCACUGCUAUAAAUGUGUAUAAAAUCAUAUCUAAUCUCAGUAACUCUGACAGUUUCCAUGAUGCCAGCAACAAUACCAGUACCCACGCAUGCAUCUAAAGUAAGGGUCCCCAGCUAAAGAAAAGAAGGCAAAGAGAUCUUGAAAUAAAAUCUGACCCAUCUCUCAGGAAAGAUGCACAUCCCUAAAAAUACCCAGGAAGAAAAGCACUGGAAUGACAGACAUCCUCUGAUAACUUAGCUGAGUGUCCUGCUUUGUCCCAAACACAUGGAAAGAAAGAGUUUUGUACUUCCAAGAACCAACAUCCUCAGGUGAUUGGAGGAGAAAAGGUGGCAUGGAGGUUUCUAUGGGAGGCGAUUUUUGGGAGCAGAUCCUUGUCUGGAGCACUUCUAGAAAAUGCUUACUCAUCCAUCACCCACUAUGGGGCAGCUGAUAACUCCAGGGUGAAGGGCCUGAGUUGCUCAUUCUUCCUCAACAGGCAUACUGAAGAAGU
This 513-nucleotide long non-coding RNA is filed under the name Anser brachyrhynchus (Pink-footed goose). RNAcentral describes it as "lncRNA (ENSABRG00000005067.1)". Lineage: Eukaryota; Metazoa; Chordata; Aves; Anseriformes; Anatidae. The record is from RNAcentral.